RNAcentral lists this transfer RNA (73 nucleotides) under Stegodyphus mimosarum. It matches the Rfam family "tRNA". Rfam says of the family: Transfer RNA (tRNA) molecules are approximately 80 nucleotides in length. Their secondary structure includes four short double-helical elements and three loops (D, anti-codon, and T loops). The record is from Rfam by way of RNAcentral. Lineage: Eukaryota; Metazoa; Arthropoda; Arachnida; Araneae; Eresidae.
GCCUUCGUGGUGUAGUGGUCAGCACGCUCGACGCGUAACCGAGAGGUCCGUGGUUCAAUUCCCGGCGAUGACA